GAUGAAGAACGUAGCGAAAUGCGAUACUUGGUGUGAAUUGCAGAAUCCCGUGAACCAUCGAGUCUUUGAACGCAAGUUGCGCCCGAAGCCAUUAGGCCGAGGGCACGCCUGCCUGGGCGUCACACGUCGUUGCCCCCCCAUCUAAUCCUUCGGGAUUGCGGGGGGCGGAUGAUGGCCUCCCGUGCGCCUCGUCGCGCGGUUGGCAUAAAUGCCAAGUCCUCGGCGACGCACGCCACGACAAUCGGUGGUUGCGAAACCUCGGUUGCCCGUUGUGUGCGGUCGUCGCGAAUCGAGGGCUCGAAAAAAUUGCCGGGCUCCGGCUCGACUUUCAACGCGACCCCAGGUCAGGCGGGGUUACCCGCUGAAUUUAAGCAUAUCAAUAAGCGGAGGA
This 391-nucleotide unclassified non-coding RNA is filed under the name soil metagenome. RNAcentral's name for it is "partial contains 5.8S ribosomal RNA, internal transcribed spacer 2, and large subunit ribosomal RNA". The stretch from base 1 to 122 matches the Rfam family "5.8S ribosomal RNA", at positions 35 to 154 of the family's 154-position model. The record is from RNAcentral.